Non-coding RNA from Meira miltonrushii, 102 nucleotides. The record is from the annotation of a RefSeq genome assembly. Lineage: Eukaryota; Fungi; Basidiomycota; Exobasidiomycetes; Exobasidiales; Brachybasidiaceae.
GCCUCUGUAGCAUAAUCGGCAGUGCAUUCGGCUUUUAUGAAAAAGUGGAUUUCUACGACGUAGAAAACCGAAAGGUUGCGGGUUCGAGCCCCGCCGGAGGCU